This 459-nucleotide ribosomal RNA is filed under the name uncultured bacterium. RNAcentral describes it as "partial 16S ribosomal RNA". It matches the Rfam family "Bacterial small subunit ribosomal RNA", at positions 338 to 795 of the family's 1533-position model. The record is from RNAcentral.
CCUACGGGGGGCAGCAGUGAGGAAUAUUGGUCAAUGGACGAGAGUCUGAACCAGCCAAGUAGCGUGAAGGAUGACUGCCCUAUGGGUUGUAAACUUCUUUUAUAUGGGAAUAAAAUGUUCCACGUGUGGGAUUUUGUAUGUACCAUAUGAAAAAGCAUCGGCUAACUCCGUGCCAGCAGCCGCGGUAAUACGGAGGAUGCGAGCGUUAUCCGGAUUUAUUGGGUUUAAAGGGUGCGUAGGCGGACAGUCAAGUCAGCGGUAAAAAUGCGGUGCUCAACGCCGUACAGCCGUUGAAACUGGCAGUCUCGAGUGGGCGAGAAGUAUGCGGAAUGCGUGGUGUAGCGGUGAAAUGCAUAGAUAUCACGCAGAACUCCGAUUGCGAAGGCAGCAUACCGGCGCCCUACUGACGCUGAGGCACGAAAGCGUGGGUAUCGAACAGGAUUAGAUACCCCAGUAGUC